CAGAGCGCGAAGCUCUUCUCUUGGUUUCUGCGCUCGUGAGGCCGCACCUCGAAUCCUGGGCUCAAUUUAGGCCCCUCACUCCAAGGAGGACAUUGAGGGGCUAAAGCGUGUCUGGAGAAGGGAGCGGAGCCGGGGAAGGUGCUGGAGAACAGGGGUUAUGAGGAGCGGCUGAGGGACCUGGGGGUGCUCAGGAGAAAAGGAGGCUGAGGGGAGACCUCAUCGCUGUCUACAACUGACUGAGAGGAGGGUGUGGCGAGAUUUCACUCAUCUCUACAUAAGCACCCAGAACAUCACCUGCUUUAGUGGACAGCAGUGACUCACCCAGGCAAGGCAGUACGCGUUCCCGCAGCUUGGCAGCCCCAUGGGUCAGGAGAUGAAGGAGGGAUUGAUUCAGAGGGAACAUUGUGCCUUCCUGAGGACUGGAUCCAGAUGGAAGGUCUAUCGUUCCCUUGCUUACUGCAAAAACAUUAAAGCCAUGCGAGGAGAAGGUGUGUAGGACUGAAAGCCUUCGCACAGCCCCUUUGACUGGAAUGAAACUCCAUCCGCAAAGGUAAGAAAGACAUUAAUUACAAAGAUUGCAACUGGCGACUUUACACAGCAAUUUCAA
This is a long non-coding RNA of Cuculus canorus (common cuckoo), 607 nucleotides long. RefSeq lists it as uncharacterized. NCBI's taxonomy places the organism in Eukaryota, Metazoa, Chordata, Aves, Cuculiformes, Cuculidae. The transcript has 3 exons. The record is from RefSeq and is a predicted model, not a curated record.